CGCAGUAGUCAUAUGCUUAUCUCACAGAUUAAGCCAUGCAAGUGUAAGUUCAUGCUCUCUAAUGAGCGAGACCGCGAACGGCUCAUUAAAUCGGACAUAACUUACUUGAUAAUUUCAUAUGACGGUGGAUAACUGUUGUAAAUCUAGAGCUAAUACAUGCGUGAGCUUAUGUAAGCGCAAUUAUUAGUGAGUUGACUCUGGAUAAAUUUGCUGAUCACUAGCAGUGCUUGUGACGUAUCAAUUAGAUGUCCGCCCCAUCAAUUGCGAUGGUAAGGUAGUGGCUUACCAUGGUUGCAACGGGUAACGGGGAAUCAGGGUUCGAUUCCGGAGAGGGAGCAUGAGAAACGGCUGCCAGAUCUAUGGAUUGCAGCAGGUGCGAAAAUUAUCCACUUUUGGCAUAAAGAGAUAGUGAUGAUAAAUAACGGAUCUGGGCAUUUGUUCAGAGAUCGUAAUGAAAUAAUCGUAAAAGCUUUAUUGAAAGCAAUUGGAGGGCAAGUCUGGUGCCAGCAGCCGCGGCAAUUCCAGUUCCAAUAGUGUAUACUAAAGUUGCUGCAGUUGAAAAGCUCGUAGUUGGAUCUCGGUUUGCUGGCGCACAAGGUGCGCAAGUAGGCCUGUGCUGUAGUUGAGUGCUACGGCUUUACCUUGAACAAAAUAGAGUGCUUAAGGCAAGCAUUCUGCUUGAAUAUCUCAGCAUGGAAUAAUAGAAAAAGACUUUCUAUUGGUUAGCCAGUGAAAGUAAUGAUUAACAGAGACAGACGGGGGCAUUCGUAUUGCACCGCUAGAGGUGAAAUUCGUAGACCGGUGCAGGACGAACUACAGCGAAAGCAUUUGCCAAGGAUGUUUUCAUUAAUCAAGAACGACAGUUGGAGUAUCGAAGUCGAUAUU
This 885-nucleotide ribosomal RNA is filed under the name Dicyemidae sp. DS-2016. Its description in RNAcentral is "SSU rRNA". It matches the Rfam family "Eukaryotic small subunit ribosomal RNA", at positions 16 to 1011 of the family's 1831-position model. The record is from RNAcentral. Lineage: Eukaryota; Metazoa; Dicyemida; Rhombozoa; Dicyemidae.